GUGCUUGUACCAACAGCACAUAUACUAAAAGUGGAACAAUGCAGAGAAGAUUUGCAUGGCUCCUAAACAAGAAUGACAUGGAACUUCUUGGAGCAUUCAUAGACUAU
Dipodomys spectabilis (banner-tailed kangaroo rat) is the source of this 107-nucleotide small nuclear RNA. The record is from RefSeq and is a predicted model, not a curated record. Lineage: Eukaryota; Metazoa; Chordata; Mammalia; Rodentia; Heteromyidae.